UUAAGGUUGGGAUAUUCUGUUUAGGAAUUAGUCCAAACAUCACCACGCAAUACAGAAUAUAAGUUUAAUAAUGAAUUUAUUAAACUUACGUUUAAACUUAUUAUAAAGUAAAUCAUUUUUCACCAUUCUGAGGUGCACUUUAAAAAUAACCCGUGAAAUUUGAAAUUUAAACAUUGGUAUUUCCCAGAUAUAGGCGAAAUAACGUUCGCAUCUGAUGGCGGCAGAGCAAACAUGGAUUCAAACUGAAAACGGUGGAAAGAGAAAAUGCCAAACAGAAAGAACAAAUCAGCUGAACAAUGGAUGGUGGACUUAACAAACGAUCACCGUGAUUACAAUAGACUUUGUCACCCACCACUCCUUAUCAUUCCACAGGGACAGGUUCACACAGACGUGGGUCAGAGGAAGACACUUUAAGUACAACUCAGCAGGUGGAUGUGCAGGUGCCAGGUCAACCUGCGGCAGUUUGCUGGUGCAUAUUGAGGCACUGUCAGUGCAGUUGGCUAGAAGCCUCCCAUGCAGAGGUUUUGGAGGUCGAUCCAAGUGUGCAUCGCCCCGGAAGGGCUACUGGGCACAGUUGGCAUUUGCUGAAUUAGGAUUUGAUCCCAGAACUACUUGGGGGUAACCUCAGGGCCCAUCCACAGAGUGGAUCAGUACCUGAAAAUGAUGGGCUACCCAAGCAGUCCUACUUUUCAAACACAGCAUAUAUUUUUUCUACAUCUCGUGAAAAUAGAGAAACAUGAGAGCAUACAUUGUGUAAAAAUGAGAGCAUACAGCGAUUGUGUAAAUCACUGUUUAUCAUGGGAGUCUGGCAAUUAACAUUUUCAACACAAGAUCACAGCUGUGAAUACUAAAAACCAGGGAGAGAGGAAAAUAACUACCUGGUGAUACAAAAGGUUUUUUUAAACGCAGUAUGGAGCGAAGUGACAAAUAGUCCAUUUCUUACAUCAUGCUCUUUUUUCUUCGCCGUUUCAAUCAAGAUAUUCUACAAAAGAUGGACGCCUGACCCGCGCACAUCAGGCACGCAUUCUGCACUGAUGAAAAGGUUUCUGGCUGGAUUUAAGGUCACCAGGCAGACAGGGGUUUAAGAGGGAGGUGAGCAAUGGCUCUUUUGUUAUUUCGCUCAAGGGGAAGUGCUUUCAAAGUCCAGCAGUAACAAAAAAGCACAAGUUUCACAUGAAAAAAAAAAAGUAAAAAACUUGGACUAAAAUGCUUUUUUCUUUAUCAUUUCAUCUUCAGCCUUUAUCAGGAAAAAAAACUUCAAGGCUAUGUGGAUAUGCUUUUUGUUCUUUUGUGAACUAUCUAUUUGAAUACAAUUUUUUACACUUAGAACAGAAAUACUUAUAUGGACACCUAGAACAGGGCAAGAACACUGCAAAAAAGAAAUAAUAAUAACAAUAAAAAAACCAAUAAUAAUAAUAAUAAUAGUAAUGAUGAUAUAAAAAUCUGAUUCAUCAAGAUUCUUGUUCAUGUGUUGAAAAGCCGAUGGCUCCAUUUGCCAGAUUUGGGCCUAGGCUAUCUACGGAGUCUAUUGUCUUCUCUCACUGCCACGCCAGAGAAAAAUGUGUUUAAAUGAUUCUCCAGCUUGGCACAGAACAAAACAUUACCCCCUGGAAAAAAAAGAGUUAGAGGGAGAGACAGAAAUAAUCAUUGGCUUUGGCCUUUGUCAAAAUGUCAACAUUUUGUUUGAACUCAAAUGAGCUCUCUAUUGUUGGUUUUUUUUUCGGUCACUCUUUUUGCAAAUGUACAUAAAUCGUUGUUUUCUGAGACUGAAAAGAAAAAUCAAUGGUCCCAAUUUUCACUGAGGUUGUUUUGGGCAGAUGCAUUCUUAUUUUUAAUUAGAAAGAAAAAAAGACAAAGCAGGUUCAGAAUUAUGACAGCAGGGGGUUUGCUGAAAGGGCUAUUGAUUUGCUAAAUGCCCCUCACCUCAGAUUCUUUGUUCUCUAAAUUGGUUUGUUACCUCUGUACAAGUAAAGCAUGUGAUUUUGAGGUAGCACAAAAAACUUGGUGCAUCUCUGCCAAAAGGUGGCACUAUAAGAACCAAAUAAAUUGAAAUGCCUAUAA
This is a long non-coding RNA of Anguilla rostrata (American eel), 2061 nucleotides long. RefSeq lists it as uncharacterized. Lineage: Eukaryota; Metazoa; Chordata; Actinopteri; Anguilliformes; Anguillidae. The record is from RefSeq and is a predicted model, not a curated record. The transcript has 2 exons.